Molecule: ribosomal RNA, 448 nt
Filed under: uncultured bacterium
Lineage: Bacteria
Description: bacterial SSU rRNA
Rfam family: Bacterial small subunit ribosomal RNA
Source: RNAcentral
GAAUCAGCCGUCUCCGAUGCUCUAAUUAGAGUUGAUCAUGGCUCAGAUUGAACGCUGGCGGCAGGCCUAACACAUGCAAGUCGAGCGGAUGACGGGAGCUUGCUCCUUGAUUCAGCGGCGGACGGGUGAGUAAUGCCUAGGAAUCUGCCUGGUAGUGGGGGACAACGUUUCGAAAGGAACGCUAAUACCGCAUACGUCCUACGGGAGAAAGCAGGGGACCUUCGGGCCUUGCGCUAUCAGAUGAGCCUAGGUCGGAUUAGCUAGUUGGUGGGGUAAUGGCUCACCAAGGCGACGAUCCGUAACUGGUCUGAGAGGAUGAUCAGUCACACUGGAACUGAGACACAGGUCCAAGACAUCCUACGGGAGUGCAGCAGUGGGGAAUAUUGGACAAUGGGCGAAAAUGCCUGAUCCAGCCAUGACCGCGUGUGUGAAGAAGGGUCUUCGGAUU